Molecule: long non-coding RNA, 6870 nt
Filed under: Triticum aestivum (bread wheat)
Lineage: Eukaryota; Viridiplantae; Streptophyta; Magnoliopsida; Poales; Poaceae
Description: long non-coding RNA (TAES_LNC011897)
Source: RNAcentral
CCCUCUAUUCUGGCAUUCUGCAGUUCAGUCCACAGAUACAACCCUUCCAUUUGAUACAAAUGCAUACUUAGUAUAGAUCUGAUGCUUGCGAGUACUUUGGAUGAGUACUCACGGUUGCUUUGCUACCCCUUUUCCCCCUUCUUUCUUCUUUUCGGUUGAUGCAACCACAUGGUGGAUCCUUGGAGCCAGAUGCCACCGCCGACGGAUACUACUACAUGGAGGCCGCCGAAGACCAGGAGUAGUUAGGAGGUCCCAGGCAGGAGGCCUUGCCUUUUCGAUCUUGUUGCUUUUGUGCUAGCCUUCUUAAGGCAAAACUUGUUUAACUUAUGUCUGUACUCAGAUAUUGUUGCUUCCGCUGACUCUUGUGUAUCGAGCUUGUAUUCGAGCCCUCGAGGCCCCUGGCUUGUAAUAUAAAGCUUGUAUUAUUUUAUUUGUGUCUAGAGUUGUGUUGUGAUAUCUUCCCGUGAGUCCCUGAUCUUGAUCGUAUACAUUUGCGUGUAUGAUUAGUGUACGAUUGAAUCGGGGGCGUCACAAGUUGGUAUCAGAGCCGACUUCCUGUAGGAUCCCCUUUCCAACUCCUUGGCCGAAGUUGAGUCUAGUUUUGAAAAACAAUUUUACUAACAUGGCUGUGUGGCUUACGGGCCCACGUCGCCAAUUGGGUGGUAUUAAGAUCUUUUAUUCCUUGUCUAUACUCUGGGAAUCUGAUCUCUCUUCUAUUCGGGUUAAAUGGUUUUGCAAACUAUAACUCUAGGAUCUCGUAAAUACUUCUCCCGGAGAGCCCCUUCAUUCUAGAUGAUGGCCCGCUUCACCAGAAGAUUCUGAAGAUACUCUUUGAUGCUUUCUCGAGACCCUUGUGCCCUUCACCAUUGCAAUUCCUACCACCGAUAAAUCCUUAUGCGUAACUACCUACGUUGUCGUUCAUGCCUUCAUCCCCAUUUGCUCUUGUUAUUACAAGAUGUCCUGAAAUACUCUUCGAUGUUUAGAGGAUCCUUCAUGCUUACUGCCCUGCAGUUCUUGCCGCAUGAAUACCCCUUCGGAUAAUUACUCGCUCUUACCGAGUAUCCAUUCACCCCAGUUAUUCUUAUGCUUCAUAAGAUACUUGGUAAUACAAUCCGAGCUUUCGAUGACCUCUGUCUACUAUUGCUCUAGAAAGUCUUACUUGCCUACACUCUGGUUAAUUCCAUAUGCCUAGCAGUAUCCAUUGACGUCCUUUGUCAUUAUCAUCUUGAGUCUUUCGAUUUGAUAUGUCUAUGUUGCAAUCAUUAGUUGAUCCUUAUAGAUUAUCUUUCUGGCUCAGACGUCUUCCCGAACAUGAGCUGUUUCUUGGCCAAUCAUAUUGCCAUUGGUUGUGCCCAAGUCUAUUCAACUUAUCCAUUCUUGAUCAGCGUGUUUGCUUCAGAUCCCUUGAUUUGGGAAUCAUAAUUCAUUUUGCAAUUGAACUCUGAAUUAGUCAGUUGCUUCUAUAAUCUGACCUCCUUGCAUUCUUCCUUCUUCUGGUUGAGUACUGCUGCUCUCGUCAGAUCCCUCGUGGACCACCAGAUCCUUGGUGUAUUUUAUCUGACAACAUCCUUCAUAUUCGGUAACCUUGUGAGCCUUUCCUCGGAUGCAUAAUACCUUUCGUAAAUUGUAUCCCCGCUCUUGUCAACCAUACUCUGCUUUCGGGCUUGAGUUAUUUACUCGUGAAGUUUGUGAUAUAUGUCCUAAGAUGUCCCUAUGGGUUGAAUCUAUGGCUUCCCUAAUCUGUGUGAACCCGAAGAUUAUGCAACUUAUAUCUACUGACGUUUCUUUGGAUUUUUUAAUUCUACAACUUCAUCGAAAUCAAGAAGUGAAUGGAAAGAUGUGCAUUAGAGAAGUGGGAGUCGACCUUGAACCUUUGUGUUCAUGCCCAUGGACCCGAUGUGGAACUUAUCAUGGAAGCUUCUUGUGAUAAUGAUAAUUCCCUUGUGAUAAGUUCAUCUUGUAUCUAUAUUUGGUCCUUUGCAACCGUGGUUCCGACCCUAUAGUUCUUCUUUGAUCCCAUUUCUCACACAAGUUGAAGUACUUGUCCUCUGUAGAUCUUUUCACCUGUCCAACCUCUAUCAUGUUCUACCUUCGAGUUUUACACUAUGUUAUCUCGAGCAUAUCACGGAACUACAUAAAUUCUUAUGAGUUCUUCAUUAACUACUAUUUCUCACUGAUUCUAGUUUUCCGUGGAUUUUGAGUUGUUAGACACUCGAGAACACCAGUACCUGAUCCGAGUCUACACUUUUCUCUCCAUUGUUUUGUUUAACCUUUCUUGUAACCAACAUAUCCGAGCAGUGGUAUUUCCCUGCUUAUGUAAAUACCUCGAUGUACAAACUCUGUCAGUAAGACCUUGUUACUAUUGUUGGUGACAUUCCGGUAACCACCGAUGGAUAAGAACUUUGCCUAUUGGUCCACCUCGUCUUAAUGGGCAGGGAAAUGGUUCUCUUCGUCCCUCGCCCUUGGUACCAACGUUGUUACCAACAUAAUUGACGGUCUAUCCUCUGACCUGCCUUGCUAUCAUGAUCGUGCAAAUGAUAGGAUCCGUCCCGCUUUCAACCCACAUGGUGGGCCCAUAACCCACAGUUCCACAGGAUCGAAACCUGACUCUCCUAUACAUCUCUGUCUUCCAAAAUUAUUCCCCACGCUUGGUUUCGUAUGUAAUUCGCGAGCCACCUUCUUGUGAUCUGUUCUGGUAUCAGAUGCAAUACUUAUUCUCGAUGCUUGAACCCCUUUCACCCUCUCUUUCAGGCAAUGAACGAUUGCCUACCCGGUUAAAACUUCUUAUUGCACCCUCUUACCUUUCCCUCGGUGACUUUCUUGAAUUUCAACUCGCGAGAUGCCUCUAUGCCAUGUUCACCGAGAUAGCCCCAGGUACCUAUCUUGUGUUGAGCUUCGUCCUUUCCGAGUCUUUUCCCUUACUCCACCCCUUAAAUCUCGGGACGAGAUUUCUUGUAGUGGAGGAGAAUUGUGACGCCCGGAUAAUUAAGCUACAGUAAUUCCCUGCCGUUGAUGCCACGUCAUCACGAUUAUUGUUGAUAAACUCACGUCGAUUCAAACCCCGUUCAAUUUCAAAAUUAAAAUCAGGUCAAACUUUAAAAGUUUUCAAAUGUCAAAACUUAAAUGUUCACCAUAUCCUAUAAAUUCACCUGAUGAUUGUCAUGUUGAAACCAACCUCUUUUUAAUACCAAAUUGCACCUGGAAUUUUAUUUGGUGGUCCAACCACAAUUAAAUUGGCCUUAUCAAUUUCUAAAAAUGGUUAGGCAACUCCUUUUGACCCCAAACUUUUUGUGCCAUCUCAAGGUAUUGUGUGAAAAUUAUGUGCCAAGUUUUUUGUUAAAACAAAAGUCUUUUGUGCUCCAGUUAAAUGCAAAUCCGUAACUAUUGAAAGUAUAGAAAAGCAUAAUCGGAAACACUAAGACUUCCUGCUGGACUGGGCCCCUAGUGGCUGCAGUGCGGCCCAGCCCAGCCUAGCCGGCCUUUCCUGUAGCUCUGGACAGUGGAGACCGAGGCCAUGGCGCCAGGCACGCGCGUGCGCCGUCCACGCGCCCGAUCUCCUCGUGUCGUUCAUCCGUCGAUGCCCCGAGACGCAUAAGACCCUCCCCGACGGCCUGGUCGAACCCUAGCUUGCCCAUUCCCCUUCUCCAGCUCGCCCUUCUCGAAUCGAUACAAGACCGAACUGUCGCUGCCACACUCGUUGUCGAUCCUGUGGCCACCGGCCGUCCCUCGUCGCUGCACCAUGACCAGGAGCCGCACAUCGUCGCCUUCUUCAUCGACACAGCAGGAAUCGGGCGGAACCGCCUUGAAGUCAUCGCCCCGGUUGUGUCUUCAUCGCCUCGGCCGCCGCACGAUGUCGCCAUCGAUUCGCCGCGCCUCGACCACCUCCGGCUGCCCCGAGCUGUUCCUCGUCAUGGAUGUGAGCACGGCGUGUUUUCCCCUCUGUUCCCGCCUUUAAUCUUGUCCUGUAGCACCGAAUCCCCACGAGCCCCGAUCUCCCGCGUAUGUGAGCGUAUUGCUUCUGUUGCCGCUUGCUUCUGCCGCGCCUUCGUUGCCCGCUAUAGCUACCUCCGGUUGCCGCUGCCCUUGCCCACGCUCGAACGCCUGUGGCGCCCUCUCCCGCUUGCUCCCGCCGCUCUGCUACUAGUGCUGCUGCUGCUUCUGCUUCCGUGGGGGCCUAAUGCGUCGCUGCUCCUCUUAGCUGCUGCUGCUGCUCGCUGCUUGAUCGCUGGUUGCUGCUUGGCUUGCUGUUAUGCGUGCUUGCUACGGCACUGCUUUGCUUGCUACUUUGGUGCGUUGAGGCGUGUUUUCUACUUCUGCUCAUACUCUCCUGCUACCGCAAACUGCCGCUUGCUGCUGCUAUUGGCCUUGGCUACAUCAAUGCCUGAGUGUGUGUGUGCGUGAGUGUGUGUUCUGUGUGUGUGGCCGGCCCAAUUACUAGUUUAGGGACUAAUUUAGUUAGUUAGUCUGAUUACUAGUACUAGUUAAUUAGUCCAAUAGUAGAUGACAUGUGGACCCACUUUUAGUUUAAAGAAAAACAAAUUUUAAGAAAAGUCUAAGUCAAUGACAUGUAGGCCCAGUUGAACUGUUCACCUUUGACCAGUCAACUGUUGACUCCUGAGUCAAUAGUUGACCUGGCCCCACUAGUCAUGCACACUGGCUAGGUACUGCUGUGUACAAAAUGUAAUUGCUGUAUUAAGUCGAAUUUAUAAUAAUUUCAGAAAUUUCUUUAAACUUUAAUAAAUCAUAUAAAAUAGACCAUAGCUCGGAUGAAAAUGUUUUCUACAUGAAAGUUGCUCAGAACGACGAGACAAAUCCGAACAUGCGGUCUGUUCGCCCGCCACACAUCCCUAGGAUAGCAAACAUUGAACUUUUCCCCUCAGGUUCAUCUGUCUGACAGACGUCCGGAACCGGGAAAACUUUCCCGAAUGGUUUCCCCCUUCACCAGUAUCACCUAGCACGGCGUUCGAACACCUCUAGCCCCGCUUAUUGUCUUGUUAUGCUUAUGUUUGUGUGUAUUUACUAUUUCUUCCCCCUCUUCUCCCUGCUAGACCUCGAGACUGCUGCUGAUGCCCCUGUGAUCGACUACAUCGACGACGACCCUCCUUCUUGUCUGAGCAACCAGGCAAGCCCCCCCUUUGAUCAUCCCGAUAUCGCCCAUUUUAUACUCGCAUGCUUGCAUUAGAUUUUUGCUACUGUUUUUGUUUGCUCCUAUUCUGAUGCAUAGCCUGCUUUUGUACCUGCUAUUGUUACCUACCUGUUUAUCCUAAACUGCUUAGUAUAGGUUGGCUAGUGAUCCAUCAGUGACCCCCACUUGUCCUUGUUGCCCCUGCUUCAUCAUCGACGCCUCGGUCGACGUGAUCGACGACCACAGCCCGACACCUCACCUCACAUCACGCCGCUUUAGUUGCUCGACUUUGCAGAGCUACUAUCGAGUGCCGAGGGUGAUCCCUCAUAACGCACUCCUGAUGAUAAUUCUGUAGUGUAGCUAUUUCGGUCGUGGUCAUCGAGGGUGAUUUCCUCUUUCACCAUUCCCGAUACGGCUCUGUCGUUCAACACCUCAAGUGUGAACCUCGAGGGUGGUCCCUCUUACGUUCACCUUGAUGAUUACAUUGAGUGGAAUCCACUGGGGGUGAUUCCUCGGGUUUUCCCCUUGAUGUUUGAACACACGGUUACACUAACUUUACUUGAGACCUUGGUGAAAGUCGGGCGGGCCCGGAGAGCACCCGCAAGAUGGUUACGUGGCACUGCCGGGCAUUCUAUGCCCUUGUCAUAAGUCCACAAGACAGGGCGACGGGGUCUCUUUCGAUCGUGAGUCUCUACUCGUCUCCGCAAGCUAAUAAUACACUGUGGUUUGGGUAUUUGUUCUGAGUUGGCCUCUGGCCUUUACGCACAAACCACCACGCGAGAAUAGAUAUGGGCCUCGACGUCGCAGUAUCAGCUGAAGCUUUGUCAGACGUCUAGUUAAGCAUUGUGGGCCUAUCGGGCCAGUGCCAUCCAGUAUGAGGUGGUGCUCGUCCAGGCUCGUCGCACAAUGACCCGGAGUGAAACGGGCGAUGGGCCCAGACCCCAGAGUGCUUAGGAGGUAGACCGGCGAGGACCUCUCUGCUGAGCCUAGGUCGGGCUGCGACGUGUUGAUCUUCCGAGGGCGGGCAUUGACCCCAGAAAGGUGUGUCCAGCCAGAGUGAUCGAGCGUGUUGGGUAACGUGGUGCACCCCUGCAGGGAAGUUAUAUAUUCGAAUACCGUGUCCACUGUAAUGGACGUUCAGACUUAUAUCCUGAUCUUAUACAACCACAAAUGGAUACUUGAGAUAUGUGGCUUCGGGAUUGCUUUCUCGCAGGGAGUCGAGGAAGGAUCUCUAGGCAUUAAUGUACAACAUGCCUGUUAAUUAUAAACUGCUAUUCUUUACUCUACUACAUGCCGUGAGAUGCUCGAAGCUGCGUGAAGAUGCUAGUCUUCGAUAGGCUAGGCUUUCCCCCUCUAUUCUGGCAUUCUGCAGUUCGGUCCACAGAUACAACCCUUCCAUUUGAUACAAAUGCAUACUUAGUAUAGAUUUGAUGCUUGCGAGUACUUUGGAUGAGUACUCACGGUUGCUUUGCUACCCCUUUUCCCCCUUCUUUCUUCUUUCCGGUUGAUGCAACCAGAUGGUGGAUCCUUGGAGCCAGAUACCACCGCCGACGGAUACUACUACAUGGAGGCCGCCGAAGACCAGGAGUAGUUAGGAGGUCCCAGGCAGGAGGCCUUGCCUUUUCGAUCGUGUUGCUUUUGUGCUAGCCUUCUUAAGGCAAAACUUGUUUAACUUAUGUCUGUACUUAGAUAUUGUUGCUUCCGCUGACUCUUGUGUAUCGAGCUUGUAUUCGAGCCCUCGAGGC